Molecule: ribosomal RNA, 710 nt
Filed under: uncultured fungus
Lineage: Eukaryota; Fungi
Description: eukaryotic LSU rRNA
Rfam family: Eukaryotic large subunit ribosomal RNA (bases 142-710)
Source: RNAcentral
UCUCUCAGCUUACCUUGAAAGCAUUAGCGAGCUUUUUCUGAGUCUUUUUUUCAGAUUGAGGCGUUCUUAACGCGUUUACGUCUCAAAAGAAAGAAAGAACAGAGUCCUAAAGCCUGCUUCUAAUGGCCUCAUUUUUUUCAAUGACCUCAAAUCAGAUGAGACUGCCCGCUGAACUUAAGCAUAUCAAUAAGCGGAGGAAAAGAAACUAACAAGGAUUCCCUCAGUAACGGCGAGUGAAGAGGGAAGAGCUCAGUUUUGAAAUCUGGCAGUCAUUCACUGUCCGAGUCGUAAAUUGAAGAGAGUGUCAUCCACACUGGACCAUGUCUAAAUUGUAAUGAUCCACAGUCCUUUGAUGGAGUAUCAGAGAGGGUAAUAAUCCCGUCUUUAACGUGGACUCCCAGUGUUUAUGUGAUGCAUUCUCUCAGAGUCGAGUAGUUUGGGAAUGCUGCUCUAAUGGGAGGUAAACUCCUUCUAAAGCUAAAUAUUGGCGAGAGACCGAUAGCGAACAAGUACCGUGAGGGAAAGAUGAAAAGAACUCUGAAAAGAGAGUCAAACAGAACGUGAAAUUGCUGAAAGGGACGCGUUUGGAGUCAGAUGCGUCUUCAUGGAAUAACGACUCAGUUAGCAGAGACUGAGGUCAGUGACUUGAAGAUGGGCCAGCACUCACGUAGACCAUUGAAAAAGGGGUCAUUGGAAUGUAGCUCAAUUUA